UUUAACAAAAACAUGUCCUUUAGAGUUGAAUUUAAGGUCGGGCCUGCCCCCUGAUAAUAAUUAAAGGGCCGCGGUAUUUUGACCGUGCAAAGGUAGCAUAAUCAUUAGUCUUUUAAUUGAAGGCUGGAAUGAAUGGUUUGACGAAACAUUAACUGUCUCUGUAUAAUAAAUGGAAUUUAACUUCUGAGUCAAAAGGCUUAGAUGAAUAUAAAAGACGAGAAGACCCUAUAGAUCUUUAUAUGAAGAUAUAUUCAUUUUGUUUAGUGGUAUUGUUUAUGAAUGUGUUAUUAUAUUUUGUUGGGGUGACAUGAAGAUAAACGUAACUCUUUAUAUUUAGAACAUUGAUUUAUGGAUAAUUGAUCCGUUAUUAACGAUUAUAAGAUAAAGUUACCUUAGGGAUAACAGCGUAAUUUUUUUUGAGAGUUCUUAUYGACAAAAAAGAUUGCGACCUCGA
This 454-nucleotide ribosomal RNA is filed under the name Anonconotus baracunensis. RNAcentral describes it as "partial 16S ribosomal RNA". It matches the Rfam family "Bacterial large subunit ribosomal RNA", at positions 1803 to 2529 of the family's 2925-position model. Lineage: Eukaryota; Metazoa; Arthropoda; Insecta; Orthoptera; Tettigoniidae. The record is from RNAcentral.